AGGGAUGUGGCUUAGUGGAAAAAUCUCUGCUUUGCAUGCAGAAGGUCCCAGGAUCAAUCCCCUGUACCUCUA
This 72-nucleotide transfer RNA is filed under the name Sphaerodactylus townsendi. RNAcentral's name for it is "tRNA-Ala". It matches the Rfam family "tRNA". Rfam says of the family: Transfer RNA (tRNA) molecules are approximately 80 nucleotides in length. Their secondary structure includes four short double-helical elements and three loops (D, anti-codon, and T loops). Further hydrogen bonds mediate the characteristic L-shaped molecular structure. tRNAs have two regions of fundamental functional importance: the anti-codon, which is responsible for specific mRNA codon recognition, and the 3' end, to which the tRNAs corresponding amino acid is attached (by aminoacyl-tRNA synthetases). tRNAs cope with the degeneracy of the genetic code in two manners: having more than one tRNA (with a specific anti-codon) for a particular amino acid; and 'wobble' base-pairing, i.e. permitting non-standard base-pairing at the 3rd anti-codon position. The record is from RNAcentral. Lineage: Eukaryota; Metazoa; Chordata; Lepidosauria; Squamata; Sphaerodactylidae.